UACGGAGGGUGCGAGCGUUGUCCGGAAUCACUGGGCGUAAAGGGCGCGUAGGUGGCUUGGCAAGCGUGUGGUGAAAGCCCGGGGCUCAACCCCGGGUCUGCCGUGCGAACUGCUAUGGCUUGAGCACUGUAGAGGCAGGUAGAAUUUCGGGUGUAGCGGUGGAAUGCGUAGAGAUCCGGAAGAAUACCGGUGGCGAAGGCGGCCUGCUGGGCAGUGGCUGACACUGAGGCGCGACAGCGUGGGGAGCAAACAGG
This 254-nucleotide ribosomal RNA is filed under the name uncultured bacterium. Its description in RNAcentral is "partial 16S ribosomal RNA". It matches the Rfam family "Bacterial small subunit ribosomal RNA", at positions 524 to 776 of the family's 1533-position model. The record is from RNAcentral.